RNAcentral lists this unclassified non-coding RNA (1276 nucleotides) under Hevea brasiliensis (rubber tree). The record is from RNAcentral. Lineage: Eukaryota; Viridiplantae; Streptophyta; Magnoliopsida; Malpighiales; Euphorbiaceae.
AAAAAAAAAAAAAAAGAAAAGAAGUGAUUACAAAAAGAAGUAAACUUUUGCUUUUCAUAAAAGGUAAAUUUUUUACUUUUCAAAUAUUGUCUUUUGUUAUCUAACCAAAGAUUUCUUUUUUAUUUUUGCUUCCAAAAUAGCAUUAAAAAAAAAAAAGACGGAACAAGGUAGCUAAAUGAAACCUAGUUUGGACAUUACUUCUGACAAAGAAUAUAAAGGACAUUACUACUGAUUCUAUUACACUUCAGCAGAUUUGAGUUGCUAGCGUAUCUGGAUGCAUCCUCUGUUGCAGCCCAUGAAUUUCGAAUUCCUCCUAAAGCUCUUUUGGGAUUGCAUUCGUACUUCCCUGUCCAUUUUGAUAUAUGUCAUGCUGUGCUAGUUGAAGCAAGUGUCCAUGUCAGCCUAUUGAAAGCCGGUUCUCACAAACAGAUAUCUGGGUUUGUCAGAUUUCUACUAUCUAAAUAUAUAGACUGCUUUUAAUCAUGUCAGAUGUGGUUUGUUUAAUUAACUUGCUGCAUUGUAUCAUUGCAGUGGUCCCUGCCACAUUGUAGAUGUUGCUGAUGAAAGUGCCGAUAGGUCCAAUGAUGUAUACUUAGACAAUCUUUUCUAUGUGGUUAUUUUGACAUUUUUAUAUUUUAUUUUUGCCUUUUUCGUUGACUGCAUUUUGUUUCUUGUGAAUCUGCAUACUGAUGAGAAUAUAUAGUUGCAGCUAAUAUCAAUGUUCUUAUGUGUCCAUUGCAUUUAUUUUUGUGUAAGCAUGCAAAUUUGCGUGAACUUUCGUGUAAAAUCUUGCACUGAACUAGCUUGAGUUUGGCCUAUUUUCAUUGGCACUAAUGUAUGUAUGCAUAAUCAAUAUUUUGAUUGCAGUAGCUUCUGUUUUGAGCUUCCAAUCAAGUUCAUGUCAUUCUCUUAGUUUCAAGAUUGCAGUUUUUCAAAUAUAAUGGGAAUGCUUAUGAUAUUAUGAUAUUUGAGUAUCUGUUGGUUUUGUCUUUUUAUUCCAAAGGUCCAUAAUAUGAGUGCCAAAUGAAAGGCUAAAGACCACUAGACCUAGAAAUUGUAUGUGCCAAUGAACACAUGAUCAAGAUCAACUGACAUCUGACUUGUCAGAAUAUAACACAGUUCUUUAUGAAGUCCAACUCCUGUGGACAAUAAUUGACUAAAAAUUUUUCUACGUCAUCUAACAAGUAUGGAGGGGAUUGUUAUUCAUGUUUAUUUAGUUUUGUGACCAUGAGUUACUUAAAAGAUAUUCCCUAUGUAUUGAAAUUAAAAUUUUGUG